AGUGAACGCUGGCGGUAGGCCUAACACAUGCAAGUCGAACGGCAGCACAGUAAGAGCUUGCUCUUACGGGUGGCGAGUGGCGGACGGGUGAGGAAUACAUCGGAAUCUACUUUUUCGUGGGGGAUAACGUAGGGAAACUUACGCUAAUACCGCAUACGACCUACGGGUGAAAGCAGGGGAUCUUCGGACCUUGCGCGAUUGAAUGAGCCGAUGUCGGAUUAGCUAGUUGGCGGGGGAAAGGCCCACCAAGGCGACGAUCCGUAGCUGGUCUGAGAGGAUGAUCAGCCACACUGGAACUGAGACACGGUCCAGACUCCUACGGGAGGCAGCAGUGGGGAAUAUUGGACAAUGGGCGCAAGCCUGAUCCAGCCAUACCGCGUGGGUGAAGAAGGCCUUCGGGUUGUAAAGCCCUUUUGUUGGGAAAGAAAAGCAGCAGGUUAAUACCCCGCUGUUCUGACGGUACCCAAAGAAUAAGCACUGGCUAACUUCGUG
Molecule: ribosomal RNA, 492 nt
Filed under: uncultured bacterium
Lineage: Bacteria
Description: partial 16S ribosomal RNA
Rfam family: Bacterial small subunit ribosomal RNA
Source: RNAcentral